GCUAAAUAUUCUUAAGAUCAAAGUGUAUUUUAGCAAAUCAAAGAAAAUCCUCUCACCUCUCUCUCACCUCACUUUCGCCCCCCUCUCUCUCUCUCUCUCCCUCACCUCUCACUUUCCUCCAUUGAUCUCCAUUGGAGAGACCUUCCAAGCUUUCCUAAAAUCACAUAUGUGCAAAAAUCCUUCACUAAAUCAAGCCCUAAACACUUUCUAUACUUGAUUCAAAGAGAUUAGUAGAGUUUUGAGCUUGAAGUUUAGAGAGAAGAAAUUCUACUUUUCUUAAAGUUCUUGAGAUAAGCAAGGAGCUAGAAUGGUCUGGUGCUGGUGGGGGAUUGUUUUGUUCAAUUGUUAGGUCCGGAGGGUCGCGAAUAGGUGUAUGGGGGGGGAAUACACAUAUAGGCUAUUUUUCACAAAUCAGAGGGAUCUCAAGAUAGAGAUCAAAACAAAACAUUACACACAAACUAAGACGCCUGUUUACUGAAAAGAGUUUUGACCAAACAGGGUUGACGACUGAUACUGAAAUACUCUUCAGUAAUGAGUUAUCAGUUAAGUCACUGGAACUUAAUAGAUGCACGUUAAGGCUUCAGUCGAGUUUGCGAAAGCAGAGAUGUAAUAAAUCUGCCUGACUAUCAGAUGAUAGAUCAGUCAGACUGAUAACAUACGCAGCGGAAAUACUUUUGUUUUGUAAUAACCUUUGUUGAGCACGUUGCUAGUCUUAGGUUUCUCUUUGUAUUUAAUCAGUAUUCAGUUCAUCAAAAAUAAGAAUACAAGUAGCAAAGUAAAACUGAAAGCUAUAAAUAAUACAAAGAUUUUUACGUGGUUCGGAAAACACUUCCUACAUCCACGGUCGGUUGAUUAGACCAACAACUUUACUCUGCAAGUGCUUACGGGUGCACUGCAAACCGAAUCUGUGUGCUUAGCCGGGUGCACACAACCGAAUCAACUGAAGAUCCAAUCUUCAGUACCAACACUUCACUCGCGUUGGAUUUCUCACUCCUAGCACGAACUGACACUAGGAUCUCACAGAGUCAGAGUACCUUCCUGAACUUCUUUUCAACUCAAACACUCGAUUCUAUCGGUCGAAGGGAGGUUUGAAAUCUUGCCAACUAAACUUCAAAGAACAAGUUCUUUGGAGUUAGUUUUGACCUAGGCUCUGGAUAAACAGGGGUUUGCCUAAGGUCUAAGAGAAUGUAUGUAAUCAGCAGUGACCGAUUUUUGGCUUUGGUAUUCUCUUCUUCGAUUCAAGCUUUGGGGAGGUUAAGCUUUGGCUGAGAAACAAUUUUGGCAUAGUUUCAGCUUAUGUUGUUGAAUCGGUGAAGAUUGAAGUGAUCCUCAAGCGCUAUUUAUAGGAGAGGUCUUAAAUAGAUCCAUUGGUGGAGAACGUCUUCAAGAUUUCUUCCGUUGGAGAGCUUUUUGAAUUUGGGCUGAGGCUUCAAUCUUCGAGGUUCCUUGUUUGGUGAGAACGGCUAUGUUGAACAGCAGGAGAUGCGAUGUCUCUGAUAAAGUAGCUACCAAAUAGGAAUGACCUCUGCAGAGAAGGAUGAUCCUGAGAUCUCUGCAUUUAAUGCGGCUGUACUUUUGGAGUACGUGACUUCUUUUGAACGUUGGAGGUUCAAUUCCGAGGAAGAAUGUUUAACUGAUACUUGACUUUAGUAUCAGUCUGCUGAAUCCACGUGGCACGCAUUAAGUAAUCAGUUCAAGACUGAUUCUUCAACUGAUACUUCAGUUGGCAACAUCAGUCUUCAGUCUUCAGUCAUUCGUCCUUCAGUCUUCAGUCUUCAGAACAGCUAACUAAACUAGAAAAGAACUCUAACGCUUGAGUUCGAACAGUUCUAGUCUAUUACAAUUAAGGUCUAUGGAUUUUGGUAUCAUCGAAACAAGGAUUAGGAUAUUACAUUAAGUUCCCAAUAGUUGUAUACUGAAAGCAAAACUUUAUGCUUGCAUACAUUGAUUCCUAAGUUCACUA
Long non-coding RNA from Salvia miltiorrhiza (redroot sage), 1963 nucleotides. RefSeq lists it as uncharacterized. The transcript has 2 exons. Lineage: Eukaryota; Viridiplantae; Streptophyta; Magnoliopsida; Lamiales; Lamiaceae. The record is from RefSeq and is a predicted model, not a curated record.